GAUGAACGCUGGCGGCGUGCCUAAUACAUGCAAGUCGAGCGAACAGACGAGGAGCUUGCUCCUCUGACGUUAGCGGCGGACGGGUGAGUAACACGUGGAUAACCUACCUAUAAGACUGGGAUAACUUCGGGAAACCGGAGCUAAUACCGGAUAAUAUAUUGAACCGCAUGGUUCAAUAUUGAAAGACGGUUUUGCUGUCACUUAUAGAUGGAUCCGCGCCGCAUUAGCUAGUUGGUAAGGUAACGGCUUACCAAGGCAACGAUGCGUAGCCGACCUGAGAGGGUGAUCGGCCACACUGGAACUGAGACACGGUCAAGACCCCUAGGGGAGGCAGCAGUAGGGAAUCUUCCGCAAUGGGCGAAAGCUUGACGGAGCAACGCCGCGUGAGUGAUGAAGGUCUGCGGAUCGUAAAACUCUGUUAUGAGGGAAGAACAAAUGUGUAAGUAACGAUGCACGUCUUGACGGUACCUAAUCAGAAAGCCACGGCAAACUACGU
Molecule: ribosomal RNA, 496 nt
Filed under: uncultured bacterium
Lineage: Bacteria
Description: partial 16S ribosomal RNA
Rfam family: Bacterial small subunit ribosomal RNA
Source: RNAcentral